RNAcentral lists this ribosomal RNA (484 nucleotides) under uncultured bacterium. RNAcentral's name for it is "partial 16S ribosomal RNA". It matches the Rfam family "Bacterial small subunit ribosomal RNA", at positions 30 to 507 of the family's 1533-position model. The record is from RNAcentral.
AUUGAUCGCUGGCGGCAGGCCUAACACAUGCAAGUCGAGCGGAUGAAGGGAGCUUGCUCCUGGAUUCAGCGGCGGACGGGUGAGUAAUGCCUAGGAAGCUGCCUGGUAGUGGGGGAUAACGUCCGGACACGGGCGCUAAUACCGCAUACGUCCUGAGGGAGAAAGUGGGGGAUCUUCGGACCUCACGCUAUCAGAUGAGCCUAGGUCGGAUUAGCUAGUUGGUGGGGUAAAGGCCUACCAAGGCGACGAUCCGUAACUGGUCUGAGAGGAUGAUCGGUCACACUGGAACUGAGACACGGUCCAGACUCCUACGGGAGGCAGCAGUGGGGAAUAUUGGACAAUGGGCGAAAGCCUGAUGCAGCCACGCCGCGUGUGUGAAGAAGGUCUUCGGAUUGUAAAGCACUUUAAUUUGGGAAGAAGGACAGUAAGUUAAUACCUUGCUGUUUUGACGUUACCUACAGAAUAAGCACCGGCUAACUUCGUG